GAUGAACGCUGGCGGCGUGCCUAAUACAUGCAAGUCGAGCGAACAGACGAGGAGCUUGCUCCUCUGACGUUAGCGGCGGACGGGUGAGUAACACGUGGAUAACCUACCUAUAAGACUGGGAUAACUUCGGGAAACCGGAGCUAAUACCGGAUAAUAUAUUGAACCGCAUGGUUCAAUAGUGAAAGACGGUUUUGCUGUCACUUAUAGAUGGAUCCGCGCCGCAUUAGCUAGUUGGUAAGGUAACGGCUUACCAAGGCAACGAUGCGUAGCCGACCUGAGAGGGUGAUCGGCCACACUGGAACUGAGGCACGGUCCAGACUCCUACAGGAGGCAGCAGUAGGGAAUCUUCCGCAAUGGGCGAAAGCCUGACGGAGCAACGCCGCGUGAGUGAUGAAGGUCUUCGGAUCGUAAAACUCUGUUAUUAGGGAAGAACAAAUGUGUAAGUAACUAUGCACGUCUUGACGGUACCUAAUCAGAAAGCCACGGCUAACUACGUG
Molecule: ribosomal RNA, 497 nt
Filed under: uncultured bacterium
Lineage: Bacteria
Description: partial 16S ribosomal RNA
Rfam family: Bacterial small subunit ribosomal RNA
Source: RNAcentral